This 167-nucleotide unclassified non-coding RNA is filed under the name uncultured fungus. RNAcentral's name for it is "sequence contains ITS1". Lineage: Eukaryota; Fungi. The record is from RNAcentral.
UUGAUUUAUUUAAUCAUUUACUCAGAAGAUACUGUAUAAAAACAAGAGUUUGGGUCCUCUGGCGGGACUGCCGGAGCAGGCACCGCCGAGGCAACAAUUGGUAUGUUCACAGGGGUUUGGGAGUUGUAAACUCGGUAAUGAUCCCUCCGCUGGUUCACCAACGGAGA